CUGAGCUCCCGAUGCCGAACUCCUCCCCUCUCUUCACCGACUCCUAUUCUCCUCCUCCCCUUUUCUCCUCGCCGACACCAUGCCGCCCUUGCCGACAUUGCGACCUCUUUCCCCCUUCUCUUCAUCUCCAGCGCAGAUCUGUAUCAAAGCAUUCUCCCCAUCUCGCCAAAUCCCUUCUCCCUCUCCCUCUCCCUCUCAUCCCGAUCCUGUUGCCGUACCCUAAAUCCCUCGCCGCCCACUGCUAUGAGUCACCAUCGACUGCUAUGGGCUGACACCGGAGCAUAGGCAUCGCCGGUUACCCCUCCUAGUCGUGCCCUAACCUCCAUCUGUGAUUUUUCCUCCUUGCCAACGCAUGUCGCAGUUAUUCCUUCUUCACCCAACUCAACAACUGCCUUCUGCUAGGUCUCCGACAGAGAAAGCUACAGGCACAAAAUUAGACUUAGCUCCCGCCACUAUUUUUUGGUAGCAAGCCUCUCUGGCCGUGAGUUUUAACAGCUGUGCAUUCAGAUUUGUGUAAGUUUCGGAGGGUUUUAGAAGUGGGAGAUCAACAACCCCACCUUACUUCGGAUACCAAUUUCCCAGCCAACAUCUCUUGCUGUGGAUCAAUAGCUGUGAAUCUAUAUUUGGGAUCUAUUUGAGACGGCAUCAUGAUGUGGACUUUAUCUGAUACGAUCUUCUUUUUAAGGCGGGUACC
Long non-coding RNA from Zingiber officinale, 694 nucleotides. RefSeq lists it as uncharacterized. Lineage: Eukaryota; Viridiplantae; Streptophyta; Magnoliopsida; Zingiberales; Zingiberaceae. The transcript is spliced from 3 exons. The record is from RefSeq and is a predicted model, not a curated record.